UUCCGGUUGAUCCCGCCGGACCCGACUGCUAUUUGGGUGAGAAUAAGCCAUGCGAGUUGAAUGGAAUACCUAAAUUUUCCAUAGCAAACUGCUCAGUAACACAUGAUCAACUUACCCUAUAGAGAAAAAUAACCUCGGGAAACUGAGGAUAAUGUUUCAUAGUUGAAAAGGCUUGGAAAAGUUUUUCAAUCAAAGGGAUAAAAAAAAUGGUUUUUAUCCGCUAUAGGAUAGGAUCGUGGUCGAUUAUGGUUGUUGGUGAGGUAAUGGCUCACCAAGCCGAUAAUCGAUAGGGGCCGUGAGAGCGGGAGCCCCGAGAUGGGUACUGAGACAACGACCCAGGCCUUACGAGACGCAGCAGGCGCGAAACCUCCGCAAUACACGAAAGUGUGACGGGGUUACCCAAAGUGUUCAGUUUUGAACUGUGGUAGGUGAGUAAUGUCCCCUACUAGAAAGGAGAGGGCAAGGCUGGUGCCAGCCGCCGCGGUAAAACCAGCUCUUCAAGUGGUCGGGAUAAUUAUUGGGCUUAAAGUGUCCGUAGCCGGUUUAGUAAGUUCCUGGUAAAAUCGGGUAGCUUAACUAUCUGUAUGCUAGGAAUACUGCUAAACUAGAGGGCGGGAGAGGUCUGAGGUACUACAGGGGUAGGGGUGAAAUCUUAUAAUCCUUGUAGGACCACCAGUGGCGAAGGCGUCAGACUGGAACGUGCCUGACGGUGAGGGACGAAAGCCAGGGGAGCGAACCGGAUUAGAUACCCGGGUAGUCCUGGCCGUAAACGAUGCAUACUAGGUGAUGGCAUGGCCAUGAGCCGUGUCAGUGCCGUAGGGAAACCGUUAAGUAUGCCGCCUGGGAAGUACGGUCGCAAGGCUAAACUUAAAGGAAUUGGCGGGGGAGCACCACAAAGGGUGAAGCCUGCGGUUCAAUUGGAUUCAACGCCGGAAAUCACUAGUGCGGCC
Molecule: ribosomal RNA, 950 nt
Filed under: uncultured archaeon
Lineage: Archaea
Description: bacterial SSU rRNA
Rfam family: Archaeal small subunit ribosomal RNA
Source: RNAcentral